This 254-nucleotide ribosomal RNA is filed under the name uncultured bacterium. Its description in RNAcentral is "partial 16S ribosomal RNA". It matches the Rfam family "Bacterial small subunit ribosomal RNA", at positions 524 to 776 of the family's 1533-position model. The record is from RNAcentral.
UACAGAGGGUGCGAGCGUUGUCCGGAAUCACUGGGCGUAAAGGGCGCGUAGGUGGUGGCUUAAGCGUGCGGUGAAAGCUCGGGGCUCAACCCCGAGUCGGCCGUGCGAACUGGGCUCACUGGAGCAUAGUAGAGGCAGGUGGAAUUCCGGGUGUAGCGGUGGAAUGCGCAGAUAUCAGGAGGAACACCGGUGGCGAAGGCGGUUCUCUGGGCCUUACCUGACGCUGAGGAGCGAAAGCGUGGGGAGCGAACAGG